UGAGGAAUAUUGGUCAAUGGGCGAGAGCCUGAACCAGCCAAGUAGCGUGCAGGAUGACGGCCCUAUGGGUUGUAAACUGCUUUUAUAAGGGAAUAAAGUGAGCCUCGUGAGGCUUUUUGCAUGUACCUUAUGAAUAAGGACCGGCUAAUUCCGUGCCAGCAGCCGCGGUAAUACGGAAGGUCCGGGCGUUAUCCGGAUUUAUUGGGUUUAAAGGGAGCGUAGGCCGGAGAUUAAGCGUGUUGUGAAAUGUAGACGCUCAACGUCUGCACUGCAGCGCGAACUGGUUUCCUUGAGUACGCACAAAGUGG
This 308-nucleotide ribosomal RNA is filed under the name uncultured Prevotella sp. RNAcentral's name for it is "bacterial SSU rRNA". It matches the Rfam family "Bacterial small subunit ribosomal RNA", at positions 355 to 660 of the family's 1533-position model. The record is from RNAcentral. Lineage: Bacteria; Pseudomonadati; Bacteroidota; Bacteroidia; Bacteroidales; Prevotellaceae.